GCUGGGCGAGGGCCGGCCUGGCGCGGGCGCGCUGGCGUUCCGCCAGGUGCUGCCGUUCCAGACGCCGGCGCAGUAC
This 76-nucleotide transfer RNA is filed under the name Chloroflexi bacterium ADurb.Bin325. RNAcentral describes it as "tRNA-Ala". Lineage: Bacteria; Bacillati; Chloroflexota. The record is from RNAcentral.